Molecule: unclassified non-coding RNA, 215 nt
Filed under: Hevea brasiliensis (rubber tree)
Lineage: Eukaryota; Viridiplantae; Streptophyta; Magnoliopsida; Malpighiales; Euphorbiaceae
Source: RNAcentral
CAAUAUUCCAUUCGAAGUUGUCCAGAUAUGACCAUGCGAAGUAACCUUUGAGAUUAACAUGGUAAUCCUUGAGGGACCCUAAAGCAUUCCACAUAUGUUUUCUAUAAUAAUCUAUCCUGAAUUCAUCUUUAAGUGCUGCAGUUAUGUUCUCUUCACCAGCUUUGUCAAUUUCAGUGUUCAAAUUGUCAACUCCAUUCUCAGUAAUAUAAAUUACU